This 251-nucleotide ribosomal RNA is filed under the name uncultured bacterium. RNAcentral's name for it is "partial 16S ribosomal RNA". It matches the Rfam family "Bacterial small subunit ribosomal RNA", at positions 1249 to 1500 of the family's 1533-position model. The record is from RNAcentral.
ACGAAACAGCGAUGUGGAGCGAAUCCNGAAAAUAUGUCCCAGUUCAGAUUGCAGGCUGCAACUCGCCUGCAUGAAGUCGGAAUUGCUAGUAAUCGCAGAUCAGCACGCUGUGGUGAAUACGUUCCCGGGCCUUGUACACACCGCCCGUCAAACCAUGAGAGUUGGCAACACCCGAAGUCGGUAGUCUAACCGCAAGGAGGACGCCGCCGAAGGUGGGGUCGAUGAUUAGGGUUAAGUCGUAACAAGGUAAC